CGGGGUGCAGCAGGCGCGAAAACUUCACAAUGGGAGAAAUCCCGAUGAGGGAAUUCCAAGUGCUAGCACUAUGUGUUAGCUGUUCUUUUGUCUAAAAAACAGAAGAAGUAAGGGCCGGGUAAGACGGGUGCCAGCCGCCGCGGUAAUACCCGCGGCCCGAGUGGUGGUCGAUAUUAUUGAGCCUAAAACGUCCGUAGCCGGUCUUGUAAAUCCUUGGGUAAAUCGGCCAGCUUAACUGUCCGAAGUCCGGGGAGACUGCAAGACUUGGGAUCGGGAAAGGUCAGAGGUACUUCUGGGGUAGGGGUAAAAUCCUGUAAUCCUGGAAGGACCACCGGUGGCGAAGGCGUCUGACUAGAACGAAUUCGACGGUGAGGGACGAAGCCCUGGGGCGCAAACGGGAUUAGAUACCCCGGUAGUCCAGGGUGUAAACGCUGCGGGCUUGGUUUUGGGGGUCCUUUGUGGGCGCCCAGUGCCGGAGAGAAGUUGUUAAGCCUGCUGCUUGGGGAGUACGUCCGCAAGGAUGAAACUUAAAGGAAUUGGCGGGGGAGCACAAGGGCGAUUGCG
This 564-nucleotide ribosomal RNA is filed under the name uncultured archaeon. RNAcentral's name for it is "bacterial SSU rRNA". It matches the Rfam family "Archaeal small subunit ribosomal RNA", at positions 326 to 892 of the family's 1478-position model. The record is from RNAcentral.